RNAcentral lists this ribosomal RNA (157 nucleotides) under Termitomyces sp. 1 YHL-2009. RNAcentral's name for it is "5.8S ribosomal RNA". The stretch from base 68 to 157 matches the Rfam family "5.8S ribosomal RNA", at positions 1 to 90 of the family's 154-position model. From Rfam's summary of the family: 5.8S ribosomal RNA (5.8S rRNA) is a component of the large subunit of the eukaryotic ribosome. It is transcribed by RNA polymerase I as part of the 45S precursor that also contains 18S and 28S rRNA. Functionally, it is thought that 5.8S rRNA may be involved in ribosome translocation. The record is from RNAcentral. Lineage: Eukaryota; Fungi; Basidiomycota; Agaricomycetes; Agaricales; Lyophyllaceae.
UUCAUACACUCCGUAAAGAAUGUAUUAGAAUGUCUUGUUAUUGGCCUCAGUGCCUUUAAUCAAAUACAACUUUCAGCAACGGAUCUCUUGGCUCUCGCAUCGAUGAAGAACGCAGCGAAAUGCGAUAAGUAAUGUGAAUUGCAGAAUUCAGUGAAUC